CAGUUUGCUUCAGCCAAGGCUGGAAUUAUACUGGUGUCACUGAACCCAGCCUAUCAUGUGGAAGAAGUGGUCUUUACUCUACAAAAGGUUCAAUGUAAAGCUGUGUUGUGUCCCACCAGCUUUAAAACGCAAAACUUUUGUGAGAUGCUGAGAGAGAUCUGCCCAGGAAUCGACA
This is a long non-coding RNA of Nematolebias whitei (Rio pearlfish), 175 nucleotides long. RefSeq lists it as uncharacterized. The record is from RefSeq and is a predicted model, not a curated record. The transcript has 3 exons. Lineage: Eukaryota; Metazoa; Chordata; Actinopteri; Cyprinodontiformes; Rivulidae.